RNAcentral lists this ribosomal RNA (760 nucleotides) under uncultured bacterium. RNAcentral's name for it is "bacterial SSU rRNA". It matches the Rfam family "Bacterial small subunit ribosomal RNA", at positions 1 to 807 of the family's 1533-position model. The record is from RNAcentral.
CCUUAGAGUUUGAUCCUGGCUCAGAACGAACGCUGGCGGCAGGCUUAACACAUGCAAGUCGAACGCCCCUUUCGGGGGGAGUGGCAGACGGGGGAGUAACACGUGGGAACGUACCUCUUUGUUCGGAAUAAACUCAAGGAAACAAGAGCUAAUCACGGAUACGCCCUUUUGGGGAAAAGAUUUAUCGCAGAGAGAUCGGCCCGCGUCAGAAUAGCUAAUUGGGAAGGUAAUGGCUCACCAAGGCGACGAUCAGUAGCUGGUCAGAGAGGAUGAUCAACCACACAGGGACUGAAGACACGGCCCAGACUCCUACGGGAGGCAGCAAUGGGGAAUAUUGGACAAUGGGGGCAACCGGGAUCCAGCCAUGCCGCGUGAGUGAUGAAGGCCUUAGGGUUGUAAAGCUCUUUUAUCCGGGAAGAUAAUGACUGUACCGGAAGAAUAAGCCCCGGCUAACUUCGUGCCAGCAGCCGCGGUAAUACGAAGGGGGCUAGCGUUGUUCGGAAUCACUGGGCGUAAAGGGCGCGUAGGCGGACGAUUAAGUCAGGGGUGAAAUCCCGGGGCUCAACCUCGGAAUUGCCCUUGAUACUGGUUGUCUUGAGAUUGGAAGAGGUAAGUGGAAUUGCGAGUGUAGAGGUGAAAUUCGUAGAUAUUCGCAAGAACACCGGUGGCGAAGGCGACUUACUGGUCCAUAUCUGACGCUGAGGCGCGAAAGCGUGGGGAGCAAACAGGAUUAGAUACCCUGGUAGUCCACGCCGUAAAC